GAAGAUUGUCCUUGAACUAACAUCUGUGCCAAUCUCCCUCCAUUUUGUAUGUGGGAUGCUGCCACAGCAUGGCUUGAAGAGUGGUGUGUAGGUCCACAACUGGGAUCCAAACCCAACAACCCUGGGCUGCCAAAGUGGAGCACAUGAACUCAAUCACCUACACCACCAGGCUGGCCCCUAAAAAUUUUUUAAUUGCCUAAAUUUUGAUAACAUAGUUUCUUCUGUUUCUUUAGCCUUAUUUGAAGAGUCCUGAAGGGACAUGAACUUAGAAUUCUGUAUUCAUUUAGAGGCUCUAGUAUGCAAAUCAAAGAAAGCUGAUCCUUGUAUGUUAGGGAUUUUGUUCCUUUCUGUUUUAAGGCUCUCCUUAGAUAUUGUCCUUUAUUAAAGUCAAAAGUUCCUAUAGAGACCUACUAUAUAUUUUUAUCAUCCCUGGUACAGGAAUUCCAUUUUGUAGACACUGACAACUAAUGGGUAAGCAUGAAAAAAGCUAGAGGUUUAGAGGGAGGAAGAAGCCUCUGAUCCUUAGAAUUACAGAAACCCACACUGGUGCACAUACAAAACAAAUAUGCACAGUGUGUUCUUUCUCUGAUUAGAAGCACAUGAUAAUAACAACUUCUCAAAUUUACAGUAUAAAUGCUAGGAAAUGCCAGAAUCCUCAUGACAAACAGACAAAAACAAACAAACAAAGCUAACAAACCCAGAUUUCCUGUUGUCUGCCACUUGCCACAGAAUGGAUUCUUGUUGAAUGCCACCUGACAAAACAAUCACCACCAGUAGUUGAUUAGACAACCAAAAUCUCACAUCACUGAUACCAGAAGGGAAGAAAAAUGGGAUAAAUGCAAAUCUGAAAAACAACUUGGCUUGUGAGAGCCCAAAAGCUCAAUCACUAUCUAUACCACUCACCAGAAGAGCCAGGAAAGCUUCAUUCUGUUGGUAUGGUCAGAAGUCUGUACCAAGCCACUAUACUGAUGUCGUGCCUUUAUCUGACCCUGGAUCUGAUCUCAUCUCAAGGCCUAAAUCAUUUGAACACUGUUACAGGCACAUAGAGAAAUGUGGAAGCCCAUCUCGUUGUUAACUUCUCAGAAGAAGAUAACUGAAUGAAUGUCCUAAUCAAAUUUAUACAUCUUUCAGAUGUUAAUAAUCCAGAACAUAUCCACUGAUACUAAUGGUAAACAUUUUUACCAUUUGUGAAUUUAAGGUAACC
This 1204-nucleotide long non-coding RNA is filed under the name Equus asinus (donkey). RNAcentral's name for it is "lncRNA (ENSEASG00005026103.1)". Lineage: Eukaryota; Metazoa; Chordata; Mammalia; Perissodactyla; Equidae. The record is from RNAcentral.